This 557-nucleotide ribosomal RNA is filed under the name Trichoderma harzianum. Its description in RNAcentral is "eukaryotic LSU rRNA". The stretch from base 167 to 320 matches the Rfam family "5.8S ribosomal RNA". The record is from RNAcentral. Lineage: Eukaryota; Fungi; Ascomycota; Sordariomycetes; Hypocreales; Hypocreaceae.
CCAAACUGUUGCCUCGGCGGGAUCUCUGCCCCGGGUGCGUCGCAGCCCCGGACCAAGGCGCCCGCCGGAGGACCAACCAAAACUCUUUUUGUAUACCCCCUCGCGGGUUUUUUUUAUAAUCUGAGCCUUCUCGGCGCCUCUCGUAGGCGUUUCGAAAAUGAAUCAAAACUUUCAACAACGGAUCUCUUGGUUCUGGCAUCGAUGAAGAACGCAGCGAAAUGCGAUAAGUAAUGUGAAUUGCAGAAUUCAGUGAAUCAUCGAAUCUUUGAACGCACAUUGCGCCCGCCAGUAUUCUGGCGGGCAUGCCUGUCCGAGCGUCAUUUCAACCCUCGAACCCCUCCGGGGGGUCGGCGUUGGGGAUCGGCCCUGCCUCUUGGCGGUGGCCGUCUCCGAAAUACAGUGGCGGUCUCGCCGCAGCCUCUCCUGCGCAGUAGUUUGCACACUCGCAUCGGGAGCGCGGCGCGUCCACAGCCGUUAAACACCCAACUUCUGAAAUGUUGACCUCGGAUCAGGUAGGAAUACCCGCUGAACUUAAGCAUAUCAAUAGCCCGGAGGAA